RNAcentral lists this ribosomal RNA (292 nucleotides) under uncultured bacterium. Its description in RNAcentral is "partial 16S ribosomal RNA". It matches the Rfam family "Bacterial small subunit ribosomal RNA", at positions 505 to 796 of the family's 1533-position model. The record is from RNAcentral.
GUGUCAGCCGCCGCGGUAAAACGUAGGGGACAAGCGUUAUCCGGAUUUACUGGGCGUAAAGCGCCCGUAGGCGGCCUGUCAAGUUGGAUGUGAAAGCUCCUGGCUUAACUGGGAGAGGUCAUUCAAAACUGACAGGCUAGAGGAUGGAAGAGGAGAGCGGAAUUCCCGGUGUAGUGGUGGAAUGCGUAGAGAUCGGGAGGAACACCAGUGGCGAAAGCGGCUCUCUGGUCCGUACCUGACGCUGAGGGGCGAAAGCGUGGGGAGCGAACGGGAUUAGAAACCCCCGUAGUCC